Molecule: transfer RNA, 70 nt
Filed under: Dipodomys ordii (Ord's kangaroo rat)
Lineage: Eukaryota; Metazoa; Chordata; Mammalia; Rodentia; Heteromyidae
Rfam family: tRNA
About the family: Transfer RNA (tRNA) molecules are approximately 80 nucleotides in length.
Source: Rfam by way of RNAcentral
GGGAAUGUAGCUUAGGGGUAGAGCGCUUGCCUAGCAUGCAUGAAGCCCUGGGUUCGAUUCCUCAGUACCA